RNAcentral lists this ribosomal RNA (1081 nucleotides) under uncultured fungus. RNAcentral's name for it is "eukaryotic LSU rRNA". The stretch from base 441 to 1081 matches the Rfam family "Eukaryotic large subunit ribosomal RNA", at positions 1 to 649 of the family's 3401-position model. Lineage: Eukaryota; Fungi. The record is from RNAcentral.
AAGUCGUAACAAGGUUUCCGUAGGUGAACCUGCGGAAGGAUCAUUAUUGAGUUUGGGCCAAUUGGCCCUCUCCCCCAAACCCCUAAAAUCAUAUAGUCUGAGGCUCUAAUUCAAUUGAUUUAAAACUUUUAACAACGGAUCUCUUGGCUCUAGCAUCGAUGAAGAACGCAGCGAAAUGCGAUAACUAGUGUGAAUUGCAGAAUUCAGUGAAUCAUCGAGUCUUUGAACGCACAUUGCGCCUACUAGUACUCUGGUAGGCAUGCCUGUUCGAGCGUCAUCUUAUAUACCUCAAGCUUAGGCUUGAUAUUGAGCAUUCUCAGCUGAGAUGUUUUAAACUAGUACCUGGCUGCAUUCUAUAGCAUCUAAAGCGUUGUAAAACCCCCGCUUUAAUGGUACUAGAUUGUGCUGCCACUAUAGAUCACUAUAGAAAACCCACAAUUUGACCUCGGAUCAGGUAGGGAUACCCGCUGAACUUAAGCAUAUCAAUAAGCGGAGGAAAAGAAACCAACAGGGAUUGCCCUAGUAACGGCGAGUGAAGCGGCAAUAGCUCAGAUUUGAAAUCUGGUGUAGUAAUGCACCCGAGUUGUAAUUUGCAGAGGAUGUUUUUGAGACAACACCAAUUCAAGUUCCUUGGGACUGGGCGUCAUAGAGGGUGAGAAUCCCGUUUAUGGUUGUGUGUUGAUUUCUAGGUAAAACUCCUUCAAUGAGUCGAGUUGUUUGGGAAUGCAGCUCAAAGUGGGAGGUAAAUUUCUUCCAAAGCUAAAUACAGGCUAGAGACCGAUAGCGCACAAGUAGAGUGAUCGAAAGAUGAAAAGCACUUUGGAAAGAGAGUUAAACAGCACGUGAAAUUGUUAAAAGGGAAGCGCUUGCAAUUAGACUUAGUCGUGAAUGCUUUACCAAACCUUUGGGCUUGGAAUACUCAUUUGCAGCUAGGCCAGCGUCAGUUUAGGCGGUUGCUAGAAGGUUUUAAGAAUGUAGCAUCUUUCUCGGAAGAUGUCUUAUAGCUUGGAGCGAAAUGCAGCCAGCCUAGACUGAGGUCCGCACUUUUGUUAGGACGCUGGCAUAAUGGUUGCAAGCGGCC